Molecule: long non-coding RNA, 233 nt
Filed under: Mus musculus (house mouse)
Lineage: Eukaryota; Metazoa; Chordata; Mammalia; Rodentia; Muridae
Description: long non-coding RNA chr2:42124620-42124853
Source: RNAcentral
CAUCUAGGGCUGGAUGGCCCCACCAGGACUAGAGGAGCUCUUCCCCACAUCUGGGGAGAAGCAAGUCACCCUCUAGCCACUGAGGAUCAUCGUCCUCCAGGAGGUCUUGCCAACAGAAGCAUUGCAAUCCCAGUAAGCAUGGCCCAAAAGGAUCUGGCAGCCUCCACCACCACUCAACCAGCUCUAAAACUCCCCCAGGGACCAGUAAGCCAGCCAUAAAACUCAGCAGAUAG